AGAGCUUGCUCUUAUGAAGUUAGCGGCGGACGGGUGAGUAACACGUGGGUAACCUGCCCAUAAGACUGGGAUAACUCCGGGAAACCGGGGCUAAUACCGGAUAACAUUUUGAACCGCAUGGUUCGAAAUUGAAAGGCGGCUUCGGCUGUCACUUAUGGAUGGACCCGCGUCGCAUUAGCUAGUUGGUGAGGUAACGGCUCACCAAGGCAACGAUGCGUAGCCGACCUGAGAGGGUGAUCGGCCACACUGGGACUGAGACACGGCCCAAACUCCUACGGGAGGCAGCAGUAGGGAAUCUUCCGCAAUGGACGAAAGUCUGACGGAGCAACGCCGCGUGAGUGAUGAAGGCUUUCGGGUCGUAAAACUCUGUUGUUAGGGAAGAACAAGUGCUAGUUGAAUAAGCUGGCACCUUGACGGUACCUAACCAGAAAGCCACGGCUAACUACGUGCCAGCAGCCGCGGUAAUACGUAGGUGGCAAGCGUUAUCCGGAAUUAUUGGGCGUAAAGCGCGCGCAGGUGGUUUCUUAAGUCUGAUGUGAAAGCCCACGGCUCACCCGUGGAGGGUCAUUGGAAACUGGGAGACUUGAGUGCAGAAGAGGAAAGUGGAAUUCCAUGUGUAGCGGUGAAAUGCGUAGAGAUAUGGAGGAACACCAGUGGCGAAGGCGACUUUCUGGUCUGUAACUGACACUGAGGCGCGAAAGCGUGGGGAGCAAACA
This 716-nucleotide ribosomal RNA is filed under the name Bacillus tropicus. RNAcentral describes it as "bacterial SSU rRNA". It matches the Rfam family "Bacterial small subunit ribosomal RNA", at positions 75 to 774 of the family's 1533-position model. Lineage: Bacteria; Bacillati; Bacillota; Bacilli; Caryophanales; Bacillaceae. The record is from RNAcentral.